This 282-nucleotide ribosomal RNA is filed under the name uncultured Pseudomonas sp. RNAcentral describes it as "partial 16S ribosomal RNA". It matches the Rfam family "Bacterial small subunit ribosomal RNA", at positions 1100 to 1382 of the family's 1533-position model. The record is from RNAcentral. Lineage: Bacteria; Pseudomonadati; Pseudomonadota; Gammaproteobacteria; Pseudomonadales; Pseudomonadaceae.
AACCCUUGUCCUUAGUUACCAACACGUUAUGGUGGGCACUCUAAGGAGACUGCCGGUGACAAACCGGAGGAAGGUGGGGAUGACGUCAAGUCAUCAUGGCCCUUACGGCCUGGGCUACACACGUGCUACAAUGGUCGGUACAAAGGGUUGCCAAGCCGCGAGGUGGAGCUAAUCCCAUAAAACCGAUCGUAGUCCGGAUCGCAGUCUGCAACUCGACUGCGUGAAGUCGGAAUCGCUAGUAAUCGUGAAUCAGAAUGUCACGGUGAAUACGUUCCGGGCCUU